AACUUCAACGUAUAGGAGGUCUUGCCUGCCCAGUGACAAGUUAAACGGCCGCGGUAUUUUGACCGUGCGAAGGUAGCGCAAUCACUUGUCUUUUAAAUGAAGACCUGUAUGAAUGGUGGAACGAGGGCUUAACUGUCUCCCUUUUCAGGUCAAUGAAAUUGAUCUGCCCGUGCAGAAGCGGACAUACAAAUACAAGACGAGAAGACCCUUUGGAGCUUAAGACACAAGAUCAACUACGUCAAGAACCCAACACCAGGUUAAACUAAGUAGAAACUGAUCCACAUCUUCAGUUGGGGCGACCGCGGGAGAAAACAAAGCUCCCACGCGGACCGGGGUUUCAACCCUAAAACCAAGAGAGACAUCUCCAAGUCACAGAAUAUCUGACCAUAAAGAUCCGGCCACCUGCCGAUCAACGGACCAAGUUACCCUAGGGAUAACAGCGCAAUCCUCUUCCAGAGUCCAUAUCGACAAGAGGGUUUACGACCUCGAUGUUGGAUCAGGACAUCCUAAUGGUGCAGCCGCUAUUAAGGGUUCGUUUGUUCAACGAUUAAAGUCCUACGUGA
Molecule: ribosomal RNA, 563 nt
Filed under: Synodontis batensoda (upsidedown catfish)
Lineage: Eukaryota; Metazoa; Chordata; Actinopteri; Siluriformes; Mochokidae
Description: partial large subunit ribosomal RNA
Rfam family: Bacterial large subunit ribosomal RNA
Source: RNAcentral